GAGAGAAGCUGAAAAAAGAGAAUGAGAGAAUGAGAGAGAGAGAGAGAGAGAGAGAUGAUUGGGGAGAGAAGGAAGAAAGGGUGUCACGCGAGAAAGCCAAGAGAGAGAAAAGAGAGAAGAGAAGAAAGAAGAGAAAGGCUGGAAGCGAAGAAGGGAAGGGAAAAGAAAGGAGAGAAAAAAGAAGAGAAGGAGGGUGGCCGAGCGGGAAGAAGGGAAGCCGAGAACGGCCGCACAUAGAGAGAGGAGAAGAGAGAUAAUCGUGGAGGAGGAAGAAGAAGAAGGGGAAUUGUGGCCGAGGAGUACCAUAUGUCGGCGGAAUCUAAAAUCAAGGUUGUUCAGGUUUUUCGAGCACCGCAACGCACCCGAGCUAGGUGCAUUCCUUUUCUUCUUUUGGUUUGUGUUUUUGGCCAAAUGAGCGUUCACCUGUGUGUGUGUGUGUGCAGGUUUGGGAGCUAAAGGACCGCGAGGUGGCUGAGAAGAGACCACCGGGAGCCAAACCGAGGCCGAAUCGCCCCACACUAGAAAGGUAAAGCUUUUUCGUAUUUUUGGUGGUUGUUGAGUGGCGGUGGAGUGGGGACGAUGUUUGGCUGGCCGUGCGGGCUAGACUGGGCCACCCAUCCUGGCAGGAACUGAGGAGGUUUCCUCGGGAAUGGGGAAAACCCACCCACCAUGGAAGCUAGAGGGUCUUCUGUGGGAAUAGAGGUUGGAAUCGCUUUUUGGGAUUCUGAUUCGCCAUCUGAGAAGCUGGAAAGUCUUCCUUGGAAAAAGGGAAUCCGAUUCGCCGAACGGGAAGCCGAAAAAUUUUUCGAGUACGGAUCCCGAUAAUUUUGGGUAUUUUGUUGGGUGGUCAUUAUAAUCCAUAAUUCGAUUAAAUUAAAUUUUAGUAUUUUGAAGUAUUUUAAUUAAUUUAUGUCGUGUGUAUAGGAAAUUAGAACAUUCAGGUGGAUCUGUAAAAACGCGUAGGAGUGUAAGUAUUUCUAAAUCUCAAUAGGAUUUGAAUUUUGAAAAGUGCAUUCAUUUUAUAAAAAUGCUUAAUUUUAAAAUUUCAAUGGACAUUAAUCCAAUUUUAGAUGAAAAAUAAAAUUCAAAUUAUGAUCAGUAAAUUUAAGCAAUUGGAACCUUAUGAGGAGACGAAACCAGAAAACAGACCCAAUGGACUGUGAGUUAUUUGAACUGAUGAAAUACAAAAUUAAAAACUUUAAAAAUUCCUAAUUAAGCGAAAAAUAGAAAAAAAAAAUAAAAAAUAAAUAAAAAUAAAUAAUUGAGGUUGUGAAAUGAUCAUUUAAAUAAAUUAACAAUUUUGGAAUGAGAUGAUAGGNNNNNNNNNNNNNNNNNNNNNNNNNNNNNNNNNNNNNNNNNNNNNNNNNNNNNUUAGUCUGAAUCGAUGAGGGGAGUGUGUGUGUGUGACAUGUUGAAACUGCAUAUGGAUAGAGUCUGAAACCUAAUCCAGACGUGGAUAGGUACUUGUGAGUGUGAGUCACCUAAUAAACAUACCUGCUGUGGCUACUGUUAGAUUUAUGUGUAUGUGCUAUCCAUGCGAUGGAAGGAUCCAUUUUGUCUUUCCUUAAUAACGACAUAAACAGUAUCGCGCGAAGAAACCAUAUAAAUGAUCUUUCGAGUGUAUCUAUGAUCUUUUGUGUGUGUGUGAUUAUGUUUCAAAAUGAUGAUUGAUAUUCAAUGUAUUUAUGACUUUCGAGAGUAUGAGAAUAUAAAUUUGAAGUUUGUAUAUGAUAUUCGAGAGAAUUCAUAAGAUCGAUCAGAAACAUGUGAAAUGGUAAAAAUAAGAACAUGAAUUUGGCACUAAAACAUUUUUAUUACUUUUAUUUCUUACUGUGUGUUUUGUAUGAAAUUUUAUUUGGGUUGAAAGAACAUGAAUACUUAUUGAGUUGGUGAAGCUCAUUAAAUUUCACCCUCAUAUUUUUCAGAGGAGAAUGAAGAGCCAGCACCGCUGUCAGAAGAGUAUAACCUGUAAAAGGAUUCUUUUUUGUAUAUUUUGUGUAUAUUCGAGAAGUUUUAUUUUGUUAUGUUAGACUUUAAAUUCUAACCUCAUGUGUUAUAUAUAUAGUUACUGUACAUAUCAUAUGGGAUGUUAGGUAGUAUUAUAUUUUUUGAUCUAUACAUGUAUAUAUUUUAUGGAUCCACUGCAUGAAAAUGAUAUGAGCAGGAAUUACGCCUCAUAUCGAGCAUCGGGGCGUGACAGGUGGUAUCAGAUCCCACAGUCCUAGAAUUAUCUCUUGUGCAUGAGGUUUUAGAGUUUAAAUAUUGUAUUUUUGCAACUAUUAGGGUGUUAAGAAGUAGGAAAUGUUAUUUUGAAAUGUUCUAUUCAUUUUUUUCUAAAUGAAGGGUUGUAAGAUGAGACGUGGAUAGACUCCACUGGAGCAACCUCCCUCUUACAUGUUCUUACAGAGCAUAUUGACCAGUUGUACCACAUGGUAGAGGAGCUUGUUAACUAGCAUAGAGAAUGGAUACCUAGCCCUCCUCUAAUACUGAC
Molecule: long non-coding RNA, 2491 nt
Filed under: Carica papaya (papaya)
Lineage: Eukaryota; Viridiplantae; Streptophyta; Magnoliopsida; Brassicales; Caricaceae
Description: long non-coding RNA (CPAP_LNC007618)
Source: RNAcentral